AGAGUUUGAUCCUGGCUCAGGACGAACGCUGGCGGCGUGCCUAACACAUGCAAGUCGAACGGAGAAUUUCAAUAAGCUUGCUUAGCGAAAUUUUUAGUGGCGGACGGGUGAGUAACGCGUGGGUAACCUACCCAUAAACCCGGGACAACCCUUGGAAACGAGGGCUAAUACCGGAUAAUCUUAAAGCUUGGCAUCAAGAUUUAAGGAAAGGUGGCCUCUGAAGAUGCUACCGAUUAUGGAUGGACCCGCGUCUGAUUAGCUAGUUGGUGGGGUAAAGGCCUACCAAGGCGACGAUCAGUAGCCGGCCUGAGAGGGUGAACGGCCACACUGGGACUGAGACACGGCCCAGACUCCUACGGGAGGCAGCAGUGGGGAAUCUUCCGCAAUGGACGAAAGUCUGACGGAGCAACGCCGCGUGUAUGAUGAAGGUCUU
RNAcentral lists this ribosomal RNA (433 nucleotides) under uncultured bacterium. RNAcentral describes it as "bacterial SSU rRNA". It matches the Rfam family "Bacterial small subunit ribosomal RNA", at positions 8 to 418 of the family's 1533-position model. The record is from RNAcentral.